GACGAACGCUGGCGGCGUGCUUAACACAUGCAAGUCGAACGGAAAGGCCCUGCUUGCAGGGUACUCGCGUGGCGAACGGGUGAGUAACACGUGGGUGAUCUGCCCUGCACUUCGGGAUAAGCCUGGGAAACUGGGUCUAAUACCGGACAGGAGCCAUUUUUAGUGUGAUGGUUGGAAAGUUUUUUCGGUGUGGGAUGAGCUCGCGGCCUAGCAGCUUGUUGGUGGGGUAAUGGCCUACCAAGGCGGCGUCGGGUAGCCGGCCUGAGUGGGUGGACGGCCACAUUGGGACUGAGGUACGGCCCAGGCACCUACGGGAGGGAGCAGUGGGGAAUAUUGCACAAUGGGCGCAAGCCUGAUGCAGCGACGCCGCGUGGGGGAUGACGGCCUUCGGGUUGUAAACUCCUUUCGCUAGGGACGAAGCUUUUUGUGACGGUACCUAGAUAAGAAGCACCGGCUAACUACGUG
RNAcentral lists this ribosomal RNA (465 nucleotides) under uncultured bacterium. RNAcentral describes it as "partial 16S ribosomal RNA". It matches the Rfam family "Bacterial small subunit ribosomal RNA", at positions 28 to 507 of the family's 1533-position model. The record is from RNAcentral.